Molecule: long non-coding RNA, 291 nt
Organism: Carcharodon carcharias (great white shark)
Lineage: Eukaryota; Metazoa; Chordata; Chondrichthyes; Lamniformes; Lamnidae
Exons: 5
Source: RefSeq, a predicted model, not a curated record
GUGAGAGCAAAAAUAAGGAUAAAGCUGCAAUCUUCUGGAAUCCCACGGAACGGAAAUUAAUAUGAGAUUGCAGAGCUGUGAGGAUAACUGGAAAGAAGGAAGUGUUGAAUCUCUGCACAAGAGUAUGGGAAAUCCUUUGGUUCCUAGUGUGAGCAUACAUGUAACAGUGCUGAAAUACCAGGCUGCAGCAGCAGUUACAUGCUUCCAUCAAGCUCCACAACUAGAAGAGGAACAUCCCACUCUAAGGCUGCUGCAGCAGUUACAUGCUUCCAUCAAGCUCCACAACUAGAA